RNAcentral lists this transfer RNA (76 nucleotides) under Acidobacteria bacterium ADurb.Bin051. RNAcentral's name for it is "tRNA-Pro". It matches the Rfam family "tRNA". Rfam says of the family: Transfer RNA (tRNA) molecules are approximately 80 nucleotides in length. Their secondary structure includes four short double-helical elements and three loops (D, anti-codon, and T loops). Further hydrogen bonds mediate the characteristic L-shaped molecular structure. tRNAs have two regions of fundamental functional importance: the anti-codon, which is responsible for specific mRNA codon recognition, and the 3' end, to which the tRNAs corresponding amino acid is attached (by aminoacyl-tRNA synthetases). tRNAs cope with the degeneracy of the genetic code in two manners: having more than one tRNA (with a specific anti-codon) for a particular amino acid; and 'wobble' base-pairing, i.e. permitting non-standard base-pairing at the 3rd anti-codon position. The record is from RNAcentral. Lineage: Bacteria; Pseudomonadati; Acidobacteriota.
UCGGGGCGUAGCGCAGCCAGGUAGCGCACCUGCCUUGGGCGCAGGGGGUCCCCAGUUCAAAUCUGGGCGCCCCGAG